Molecule: unclassified non-coding RNA, 102 nt
Organism: Propithecus coquereli (Coquerel's sifaka)
Lineage: Eukaryota; Metazoa; Chordata; Mammalia; Primates; Indriidae
Rfam family: Y RNA
About the family: Y RNAs are components of the Ro ribonucleoprotein particle (Ro RNP), in association with Ro60 and La proteins. The Y RNAs and Ro60 and La proteins are well conserved, but the function of the Ro RNP is not known. In humans the RNA component can be one of four small RNAs -- hY1, hY3, hY4 and hY5.
Source: Ensembl
AGUUGUUCUGAGUGCAGUGGUGUUUACAACUAAUUGAUCACAACCAGGUACAGAUUCCUUUGUUCCUUCUCCAUUCCCACUGCUUCACUUGACCAGGAAAAA